GGCUACUGCUACAUUGAAGGGUAAAAAGAGAAGUCGUAAACAUCACCAACUCGGUUAAAUAAUGUAGUGUACACAUCAAAAUAUGAGACUAAUUAAUGGGAAAAAACAGUAAACAGCCGGUUCAUUGUCUAAACCAGAUUAUUCUUUAAAUUUUUAUGACAUAUUGUUUAGAGUUGUCUGCUACAUACAUAAAAGCAGACUAGUAGCAGGUGAAAAACCAAAUGCUCUAUUCUGUAGAGGAAAACCGCACAACAGAUUUCAGUAGUUUACGAAGACAUCUUUGCAAUAUUACUUCAUGCAUUUCAUAAAUUAUGAUACAUGUACUCUUUCACGAGGUCAGCCUGUGCAAAAGUAUAAGUUGAAGAGAAAGCUUAGUCCUGGUUAUCAGUUAUGGCAGGGAUGACCAACAGUUGAGAACCCCCUUAAAGCUCUGAUCCCCUGGUUAAUAGUCAUGCACCAUGCAUGAAAGCAAGGCAUCAUUAUUGCAGAAUUGGAGGUGCCCCUCCAGGAGUUAGUUACUUACAAGAAUCUGUUUAAAGUAGUUGUUGAACAAGAAGAAUUGAUCCAUAUUAAUCCAGAUUUGUAAGCUAAAAUGAUAAUAUCAGACCAUCUGCUCAGAAGUGUUCCAGAAAAAGUGGUGUCUCUUUUAGUUUGAAAGAAAUUAUAUAUUAUUUGUUGUGCACCAUGAAAGCAUAUAAACUACAAAGAAAUUAAGCAAAUACACAAAACACGUGAUUUACCCUCUCAACAUAUGACUACAUCCACGGGCAUGCCAUC
RNAcentral lists this unclassified non-coding RNA (777 nucleotides) under Hevea brasiliensis (rubber tree). The record is from RNAcentral. Lineage: Eukaryota; Viridiplantae; Streptophyta; Magnoliopsida; Malpighiales; Euphorbiaceae.